This 483-nucleotide ribosomal RNA is filed under the name uncultured bacterium. RNAcentral's name for it is "partial 16S ribosomal RNA". It matches the Rfam family "Bacterial small subunit ribosomal RNA", at positions 30 to 507 of the family's 1533-position model. The record is from RNAcentral.
AUUGAACGCUGGCGGCAGGCCUAACACAUGCAAGUCGAGCGGUAGCAGGAAGCUGGUUCCUGCUUCGCGGACCGGACGGGGGCGGGAGAGUAAUGACUCGGAAUGUGCGUGGUGGAUAACGUCCGGUACUGGGCGCGAUUACCAAUACCGCCCUGUGGGGGAAAGCGAAAAACGUGGGACUUCACGCUACUAGAUGACCCUAGGUCGGAUUAGCUAGUUGGUGGGGUAAAGGCUUACCAAGGCGACGAUCCGUAACUGGUCUGAGAGGAUGAACAGUCACACUGGAACUGAGACACGGUCCAGACUCCUACGGGAGGCAGCAGUGGGGAAUAUUGGACAAUGGGCGCAAGCCUGAUCCAGCCAUGCCGCGUGUAUGAAGAAGGUCUUCGGAUUGUAAAGUACUUUCAGUUGGGAGGAAGGGCAGUAAGUUAAUACCUUGCUUUUUUGACGUUACCCACAGAAUAAGCACCGGCUAACUUCGUG